CCAGCAUUUAAUUACAUUUACGGAUAACAUUUUUAAAAAAACGUUAUCAUCUUAUAUUAAUUAAAUCAAUAACCCCGUUGAGUUUCUUUAGACAUAAAUAUAUAUUUUAAAGUAUAAAAUUUCUAAACAUUGGGGAGUUAAAUUUCAAAAAGAAAAAAGACUAAGUACAGAAUAGUGCUCUGCUAGGGUUUUGGAGAUUUUUCAAAUUACUUCUGUUGCUAUGGCGGGAAGACUCAAAGGUCGAAAAAAAUGGAACGAAUGCAGCGAUUCAAAAACAGAGGGGACCGUCGUCGAAGACUGUUGAGAAAGACGAUAUCUAUGGCAGCGAUCUUUGAGAUCAACACAGUGGAAUUUUCUAAUUCUGAGGAAGAGAAGAUUGAUGAGGAUGCGGUGAAGAAUGACGAUGGAACCAUACUCUCGCAAAGAUCGAACGAGACUCUCUCGGAAUGGCUUGGCGUAAUGAAGAAGGCAGAGGCGACUACGAAAUGAGAUUGGGGAUUCCAAUAAGACUAAAAUCAGAAGUAGUGCUGCUAGGAAAUUAGGGAAUGUUAGAAUUGAUGAUGAUGAUAUAGAAGAGGAGAAUUUUGACUUGGGAGGAUGGGUAUUGUGAUAUUACAAAACCAGCAGAAAGGAAGUCAGAUGACAGUUAUUUCAAUGGAACAAAGGCAUUAUCAUUUUCAGGCUUUGAAAUAACCAUGCGUGAUAUUGGAUCCAGGGGAUGUCCAAUCGAACUUGCAGUGGCUAAUUUAUCAUGUCUUCAGUAUGCCUUAGGCGAAGUGUAGAGCUUUUAAUCUUUGGCUUUUCACAUACCUUAUUCCCAGGAAAUUUUGGGAUUUGUUUAGAUAAUGUUUUCACCAAUUAAAAAUGUGAAAAAACAUAGCUCUCUGAUUUGUAGAUAAUCUGCAGCUACACUGUUAAACAGUGAGUCAACUAAUUA
Molecule: long non-coding RNA, 937 nt
Organism: Cannabis sativa
Lineage: Eukaryota; Viridiplantae; Streptophyta; Magnoliopsida; Rosales; Cannabaceae
Exons: 3
Source: RefSeq, a predicted model, not a curated record